UGCCAGCUGUAUUUUGCUGUGCUACUCUCAGCUGACUCUCCUAACAAGGUGGGCGGAGCAGUUUGUGCAAUUAACCAAUUUGGCCUUUGGUGGCAGCUUUUAAAAAUCCCCUUGCCUGACAGCAUAGUCUUGCUGCUGGUGUGCUUGUAGGUUGGGCACACGCCUGUGAGGCCACUUUGGCCACACAUGUCUGUGCCACAGGCUAAGCUUUGGCCUUGACGUAGCCAUGGCCGUACCUUCAGGUAGCAUGGCCUUUCCAUCAGUGCUACCAUUGGAGUAGGUUGUGCUGCUGUCUUGUCUUACCGAUUUUGUUUCCUUUUUUUGGUUCUUUUGUCUUGUCUUGUAGUUAAGUUAUCCUGUAUUUUAUUUUAACUAAGUUCAAGUGGUCUGUGGGCUUUGUGUGGCAGGAAAAUGGACCUACAUUAAAAGGAUGGCUAGUCACUAUUAGUGUGGUGCAACUGCACAUUUUUGCUGUGGAAUUCAAAGGGUUUGCUGUGGACACUUUCAGUCAUUGAUUGCUGUGUGUUUUUGUGCACUCUUUGUUUGUAUGCCUCCUUAACUCAGUCCUGACCGAGCCAAUGUAAACCUUGCCGGCAUUUUAAGAAAAACUAACCAAAAAGAAUAAAUAUCUUGAACCAUUGUUUUGUUUCUUAGGCCUAUGUUUAAUAAAACUGCCAUGGUGUCUGGAAUUCAUGUCUUCCUCAUGUCUAUUGGAACCUGUGUUGCCUGGUUUUAGUUAUGGUAAUUUCCUGGGUGUUAAACUAGCAAAAUAACUUCCCAGGAUGGCGUAGU
Engraulis encrasicolus (European anchovy) is the source of this 792-nucleotide long non-coding RNA. RefSeq lists it as uncharacterized. The transcript is spliced from 3 exons. NCBI's taxonomy places the organism in Eukaryota, Metazoa, Chordata, Actinopteri, Clupeiformes, Engraulidae. The record is from RefSeq and is a predicted model, not a curated record.